CUUGUUUGGGGUCCUCUGCCAGGAGAUGGGGUCAGGGCACGAACAGCUGCUUCUGCACACUGAAGUUCGCUGGCUCUCCAGGGGGCGGGUGUUACAGCGGUUGUAUGAGCUGCGAGAGGAGGUGAAGUGGUUUUUGACAGAAAUCAAAUCAGAUCUGGCGAAGCAUCUGGAUGACACUAUGUGGCUUGCAUCUCUGUCCUAUUUGGUCGAUAUAUUUGACCGCUUGAAUGGCCUCAACCUGUCUUUGCAAGGCCGCGAAACUCACAUUUUGCUCCUUGCGGACAAAGUGCACGCCUUCACACAAAAACUAGACCUCUGGCAUGGCCGCAUCAGUCGAGGGAACUGCGACAUGUUCCCCAGCCUUGCAGACUUUAUCACCGAUGCAGGCGCGUCACAUGAUUUCUCCUCCCUAUUUCAGUCAGCGUCUGAGCACCUGUCAGCAAUGAGAAAACAAUUUGCGACUGACAAAGGGGGAGUGA
Etheostoma spectabile (orangethroat darter) is the source of this 479-nucleotide long non-coding RNA. RefSeq lists it as uncharacterized. The transcript is spliced from 3 exons. NCBI's taxonomy places the organism in Eukaryota, Metazoa, Chordata, Actinopteri, Perciformes, Percidae. The record is from RefSeq and is a predicted model, not a curated record.